RNAcentral lists this long non-coding RNA (527 nucleotides) under Coturnix japonica (Japanese quail). RNAcentral's name for it is "lncRNA (ENSCJPG00005000995.1)". Lineage: Eukaryota; Metazoa; Chordata; Aves; Galliformes; Phasianidae. The record is from RNAcentral.
UUGCACAACUGUUAUUGUAAGCACCAGCUGGUAAAGUUUUUGCUUAAAUCUUCUAGUUAAAGCUGACAAAUCUCUCUCUCUCUCUCUUUUUUUUUUUUCUUUUCUUUCUUCAGCUUGCAGUGCAAAAAUAAAUCAUUGCUUGAAACAAUGUCCAAAUAAAUGUGACUUUAAGAUGAGAUUAGAAGUACUGAAAUUGGAAGAACAGUGUAUAAGAUACUACUAUUUUCUCUAAUAUUUUUUUCCCCUCUGGUUUAUUUCCUUUUAAAAGACUUUCAGUAGAAUUAUGGAAAUACAAUAAAUCAGAGGAUUUAUUAAAGUCGUCUCCACAUGCAUCAAGUCCAUGCUCACGGCAUCCUGAAGGUAUCAUUCUUGUACCCAAUGACAAUGCCUAAGAAGUCAUGGACAUUAAGAGAUAAAGUACAAGCAUCUUGAAUGAAAAUCAAUCUACACUUUGAACUAUUCCUGAGAAAAAAAGAAGAAGAAAAAAAGGUAAGAUUUCACAACUUAGUGGCAGUGAUAAAUAUGUC